GCGUAGGUGGCAAGCGUUGUCAGGAAUUAUUGGGCGUAAAGCGUCCGCAGGCGGUCUUACAAGUCUGUCGUUAAAGCGUGGAGCUUAACUCCAUUUCGGCGAUGGAAACUGUAAGACUAGAGUGUGGUAGGGGCAGAGGGAAUUCCCGGUGUAGCGGUGAAAUGCGUAGAUAUCGGGAAGAACACCAGUGGCGAAGGCGCUCUGCUGGGCCAUAACUGACGCUCAUGGACGAAAGCUAGGGGAGCGAAAGGGAUUAGAUACACCUGUAGUCCUAGCCGUAAACGAUGAACACUAGGUGUCGGGGGAAUCGACCCCCUCGGUGUCGUAGCCAACGCGUUAAGUGUUCCGCCUGGGGAGUACGCACGCAAGUGUG
Molecule: ribosomal RNA, 373 nt
Filed under: uncultured bacterium
Lineage: Bacteria
Description: bacterial SSU rRNA
Rfam family: Bacterial small subunit ribosomal RNA
Source: RNAcentral